Molecule: non-coding RNA, 99 nt
Organism: Acanthosepion pharaonis
Lineage: Eukaryota; Metazoa; Mollusca; Cephalopoda; Sepiida; Sepiidae
Source: the annotation of a GenBank genome assembly
UCAUUGAAAUACCAGUUCUCAUAUGAUCCCUGAAGUUAAGCAACAUCAACCCUGGUCAGUACUUAGAUGGGUAACUGCUUGGAAAUUGCAGGUGGUGUA